GCCACCGAUUUUGAUAUUGUGGAGACUGCGAGGCAAGAAGAAGAGGAGGAUAACUUUUUAGAUACUUUUGCAGAGGAAGAGGAGGAAGAGGGCUGCACUAAUGAUUACUGCCACUGCCAAGCACCACUUUUGAGGCUGCAGAAAGCUGUGAAAGAGAGGGAUGAGGCCCUGACCAAGAAAAGUGAGACCAUCCAAUCCAUUAGAGAGGACAACCUGAAGCUGAUCUCUGAGCUGCAUAGAGUGAGGAAGAGGUACCAGCUACUGAAAAGGCAGAUGGGGAUUCUCAGGGUGAGUCCGGCAAAGGAGAGGUCGGCAAAGAGGUCCCUCAGCUUUCAGGCCGAGGCAGACACAGCCCAAGAGGAGCUGCAGCUGGACCAAGUGACAGGUUCAGGGGACCAGACAGAGGAGGCUACAGCGUCCAGAUCUGGCAGCAAACUUAUCUUCCCGGGCUCUGCCAUCAGUGUGUUUCUUGAGGGAUUCAGGAAGACCUGUGAGGGCCCCAAUCCAAAUUAUAAGCUAAGGGAAAAUUGUGCCGGAAAGAUCAAAAGGGUGACGCAAUUGUUGAACUACAUGGCGAAGGAUGAGACCUACCAAUCCAAUCUCAUUUUCCUGACUAACCAUGACAAAAUAAGGGGGUGAAAGACAGCAAGGAAGCCAAGGUUGUUUCCAGAAAGACCCUGCUGGAGUGCCAGUCUCUUGCCAAGGCCAAGAUCCCAGAAGUGCUGAGUAAUUGUUUCUAAAUCUGUGAUGUCACUGUUAUUACACACAUAUAAACGUCAGACAUGUAUAGAGUGCAGUGUAAAGAUGCCUGUUAUUAUUUUCAUGUCCCCACAGAAACCUUGGAAGAAACAAGGACACAGAAAAAUCAGUACCAGUUUAAUGGAUACCUGUGGGCCUACUUUACCUCCAUAGACGGCCAUAGACCGGGCCUGGAUAAGAACCUGUUGGUGGAGGAGGCUAAAUGUGACCAGUCUGGGAUGUAUCUGAUCACUGUGGAGGAACACAAAACGAAUAGAGACCAUGGCAUGGUCCAGAUGUCGCUGACAAAGGAUGAGUACACUUGGUUUUUUAGACUUCCUCAAAUUCAAGCACUGCCUCCCAGGGGGAAAGAAGUCCCAGCACUUUUUUUUCAAUUCUACAAGCACUCAGCUCAAGAACCUGCCUGCCUACCUGAGGGAGGUAUGGAAGGAGAUGGGUCUGCCUGAAACUCCUACCUUCACUGACCUGCGGACCUCCAUUGUCACUCAUGUCAAAAACUUGCUCCCGAAGGCUGACAGGGAAAGGGUGGCCAACUUCAUGUGCCACGACAUCCAGACCGCAGAUACAUUUUAUGCCAUCAAUUUAAAUCCGUCCCAAGCCAGUGAAACCAGG
Molecule: long non-coding RNA, 1371 nt
Organism: Coregonus clupeaformis (lake whitefish)
Lineage: Eukaryota; Metazoa; Chordata; Actinopteri; Salmoniformes; Salmonidae
Exons: 5
Source: RefSeq, a predicted model, not a curated record